Molecule: ribosomal RNA, 490 nt
Filed under: uncultured bacterium
Lineage: Bacteria
Description: partial 16S ribosomal RNA
Rfam family: Bacterial small subunit ribosomal RNA
Source: RNAcentral
AUUGAACGCUGGCGGCAGGCCUAACACAUGCAAGUCGAACGGUAACAGAAAGCAGCUUGCUGCUUUGCUGACGAGUGGCGGACGGGUGAGUAAUGUCUGGGAAACUGCCUGAUGGAGGGGGAUAACUACUGGAAACGGUAGCUAAUACCGCAUAACGUCGCAAGACCAAAGAGGGGGACCUUCGGGCCUCUUGCCAUCGGAUGUGCCCAGAUGGGAUUAGCUAGUAGGUGGGGUAACGGCUCACCUAGGCGACGAUCCCUAGCUGGUCUGAGAGGAUGACCAGCCACACUGGAACUGAGACACGGCCCAGACUCCUACGGGAGGCAGCAGUGGGGAAUAUUGCACAAUGGGCGCAAGCCUGAUGCAGCCAUGCCGCGUGUAUGAAGAAGGCCUUCGGGUUGUAAAGUACUUUCAGCGGGGAGGAAGGGAGUAAAGUUAAUACCUUUGCUCAUUGACGUUACCCGCAGAAGAAGCACCGGCUAACUCCGUG